Molecule: long non-coding RNA, 831 nt
Organism: Perca fluviatilis (European perch)
Lineage: Eukaryota; Metazoa; Chordata; Actinopteri; Perciformes; Percidae
Exons: 4
Source: RefSeq, a predicted model, not a curated record
UCAACACCAGCUCAGACCUAAUUAAGGUUAUGAGUCACACCUGCGUUUGACAAGCCCGACUAAAACAACAAGAAAGGCCUCUUCUGCUUCUACAUUUCCUUAUUCACCACUAACACCGACCUAUCAGGCUGGCUACAUACUGGAUGCGUGGCGUGAGUGUGUCAGCUGCGUGGCGUGUCCGUUUUUAUUUCGGCUCCCAUGUUAACAGGGCUUGAUUACAAUCAGCGCUGUUUCUGUGCUUGUGCAUGGCGCACCAGAGAGGGAAAAGGACAACGACAGGGGGCCAGCCGAGGACUUCCUUUGUCUGGAGAUUGUAACUUAGUGCUGAGUGCAUAAAGAAGAGGGAGGGAGAAAUUGAGCUGCCAGCCUGUACCCAGCAUGAGAGCAGGAAAGUCCUGUCAUCGCGUGAGCUAUAAUAAAUUCCUUCAUUUCCCAGGAUUGUUCUCCAUCAGGGAAAGGAAAGUGGUUGUUUCUCAGGCUCGGAGUUGCAACAAGCCAAAGUAGAACUCUCCCUUGUCCGGAGGACCCAAUGCAUUACAUCAUCCAGUUUACAAAUCUUUUUUUUUUUUUGCUUAAGUUCAACAGUAAGCUGUUAUUCAUAAAACAGUUUACAGUUCCAGUGCGGAGUAUGAUAAGAUGGCAGGAGGACUCAGGAUAUAAGAGCAAUAAACAUGUAUUGAAAAGUAAUGAUUAUUAACAUUGAAAGUUUUAUUAAUGCUGUAUUUACAUUAAUGUCCUUGGAGACAAUCUCACAUUACUAAACCGACUAUGUGACUUUCCUUAAAAUUCACAUAAAAGACUGAAAGAGAAUAAAUAGCAUGUCCAAACCUA